AUACGGAGGGAGCAAGCGUUAUUCGGAAUCACUGGGCGUAAAGGACGCGUAGGCGGGUUUGUAAGUCAGGUGUGAAAUCCUACAGCUCAACUGUAGAACUGCACUUGAAACUACAGAUCUAGAGUAUGGAAGGGGCAGAUGGAAUUAGUGGUGUAGGGGUAAAAUCCGUAGAUAUCACUAGGAAUACCGAAAGCGAAGGCGAUCUGCUGGGACAUUACUGACGCUGAGGCGUGAAAGCGUGGGGAGCAAACAGGAUUAGAAACCCUUGUAGUCC
This 274-nucleotide ribosomal RNA is filed under the name uncultured bacterium. RNAcentral describes it as "partial 16S ribosomal RNA". It matches the Rfam family "Bacterial small subunit ribosomal RNA", at positions 523 to 796 of the family's 1533-position model. The record is from RNAcentral.